GACAGCAGCAGCCGCGGUAAUACGAAGGGUGCAAGCGUUAAUCGGAAUUACUGGGCGUAAAGCGUGCGCAGGCGGUUUGUUAAGACAGAUGUGAAAUCCCCGGGCUCAACCUGGGAACUGCAUUUGUGACUGGCAAGCUAGAGUGUGGCAGAGGGGGGUGGAAUUCCGCGUGUAGCAGUGAAAUGCGUAGAUAUGCGGAGGAACACCGAUGGCGAAGGCAGCCCCCUGGGCCAACACUGACGCUCAUGCACGAAAGCGUGGGGAGCAAACAGGAUUAGAUACCCCAGUAGUCCCUGUCUCUUAUAC
Molecule: ribosomal RNA, 306 nt
Filed under: uncultured bacterium
Lineage: Bacteria
Description: partial 16S ribosomal RNA
Rfam family: Bacterial small subunit ribosomal RNA
Source: RNAcentral